Molecule: ribosomal RNA, 417 nt
Filed under: Leptocoris augur
Lineage: Eukaryota; Metazoa; Arthropoda; Insecta; Hemiptera; Rhopalidae
Description: eukaryotic LSU rRNA
Rfam family: Eukaryotic large subunit ribosomal RNA
Source: RNAcentral
CCAAGGAGUCUAGCGUGUGCGCGAGUCAUUGGGUGUAAAACCUAAAGGAGUAAUGAAAGUGUCAGAGGGCGCUUGCGUUCUCAGUGGGAGGAUGGGCUGUGCGGCCUUUCGGCCGCCGCCCCGCACUCCCGGGGCGUUUCAUUCUCAUUGCGAGUCGAGGCGCACCAGGAGCGCACACGCUGGUACCCGAAAGAUGGUGAACUAUGCCUGGCCAGGACGAAGCCAGGGGAAACCCUGGUGGAGGUCCGAAGCGAUUCUGACGUGCAAAUCGAUCGUCUGAGCUGGGUAUAGGGGCGAAAGACCAAUCGAACCAUCUAGUAGCUGGUUCCCUCCGAAGUUUCCCUCAAGAUAGCUGGCUCUCGGGAAGAGACGAGUCUCAUCCGGUAGAACGAAUGAUUAGAGGUGAUGGGGUCGAAA